AAAAGAGAAAAUUCAUAAAAAAUAUCAAAUGAUGAAAUAAAAAAUAUUAAAACUCAUUUUUAGAAACUAGAAUUAAAAACAGAAAUAAUGCAAUUGGUCUCACAUUUUUUGGACCAAUGAUGAGUGAGAUAUGAGUUUUUUGAAAUGAAAUGGAAUAAAAGAAAUAAAAUGGAAAUUAAAAUCAGAAAAUAAAAAUAAGAAAAAACGUGAGGCGUUGGAUCAGGAGCUCAUUAAUUGAGCUGACACAUCACAUGGAUC
This 258-nucleotide long non-coding RNA is filed under the name Lathyrus oleraceus (garden pea). Its description in RNAcentral is "Pisum sativum (pea) long non-coding RNA (PSAT_LNC032959)". The record is from RNAcentral. Lineage: Eukaryota; Viridiplantae; Streptophyta; Magnoliopsida; Fabales; Fabaceae.